This 801-nucleotide long non-coding RNA is filed under the name Elaeis guineensis (African oil palm). RNAcentral describes it as "long non-coding RNA (EGUI_LNC036363)". Lineage: Eukaryota; Viridiplantae; Streptophyta; Magnoliopsida; Arecales; Arecaceae. The record is from RNAcentral.
UCCUCAACACAAUAUCUGAGACUUUCCACAUUAAUCACCUCAAUGUCAACAAGAAGAAUGGUGGCUUGAAGUAGUUCACGAGCAACUCGAUUGUUCAUUAGGCCCAAUCUUGAAUCUUGGAUGCCUUGCCCAAGUUCCAAGGCACUUUUGUGAAGCCAAGGGUGAAGGGUCAGCUUGGUGUGGAGGGCCAUGUGAAGAACCCUAAGGUGUGGCUACACCUCAGAGGGUCAAAAAGUUGGAUGAAUGGAGUUGUUCCCCAAGAUUGACUGAUCUAGGGGGUGAUGACUCAAGCUCCUAAGAAAGAAGCCCUCCUCCUUAGAGUUGAACCCUGAGUCAAUGCCUAAAGAGAGCCGGUGGUGGGCUAGGUAAGGAUAGCCUUGGCUCAGCCUCACUUGGGGAUAGGAGCAUCGUUCGAGAACUUCUUUCUUUUAGGGAUGUAGCAUAAUGCCCCAAGCUCCUCGAGCUUCAUAUCUAGAAAGCAAAAAAUUAUUAGUAAAAAAGACUAAAGUGAAGCCAAAUCAAAAUUGAUACUUAUCUUGAGGACUGAUCGAGCUCAAUCUGAUCUUAUAUAAUGUCUCUUUGGAAAGGAGCUUCUGUAAAGGAGGAGUAGCACAGCUGAAAAUGAACUUCAAAGCUUCCUCUUCGGUGUUUGAGAGUAUUGAAGCUUUAUUCAACAACCUCCAACAUUGAUCUCAUGAAGUAUCAAAACCCCAAGGCUACUUGGUUGAAACAAAAAAAUAAUGCUCCUUCUAGUUAUAAAUAAAGGAAUGAGCAUCUCAGACGAGACGCCAUCCCAUCCAA